CACGUAGGCACCAAGCGUUGUCCGGAUUUAUUGGGCGUAAAGAGCUCGUAGGCGGUUCGGUAAGUCGGGUGUGAAAACUUUGGGCUUAACCCAAAGCGUGCACUCGAUACUGCCAUGACUAGAGUUCGGUAGGGGAGUGGGGAAUUCCUAGUGUAGCGAUGAAAUGCGCAGAUAUUAGGAGGAACACCGGUGGCGAAGGCGCCACUCUGGGCCGAAACUGACGCUGAGGAGCGAAAGCGUGGGUAGCAAACAGG
RNAcentral lists this ribosomal RNA (254 nucleotides) under uncultured bacterium. RNAcentral's name for it is "partial 16S ribosomal RNA". It matches the Rfam family "Bacterial small subunit ribosomal RNA", at positions 524 to 776 of the family's 1533-position model. The record is from RNAcentral.